UACAGAGGUCUCAAGCGUUGUUCGGAUUCAUUGGGCGUAAAGGGUGCGUAGGCGGCGCGGUAAGUCGGGUGUGAAAUCUUGGAGCUUAACUCCGAAACUGCAUUCGAUACUGCCGUGCUUGAGGACUGGAGAGGAGACUGGAAUUUACGGUGUAGCGGUGAAAUGCGUAGAUAUCGAGAGGAACACCAGUGGCGAAGGCGAGUCUCUGGACGACACCUGACACUGAGGCACGAAAGCCAGGGGAGCAAACAGG
RNAcentral lists this ribosomal RNA (253 nucleotides) under uncultured bacterium. RNAcentral's name for it is "partial 16S ribosomal RNA". It matches the Rfam family "Bacterial small subunit ribosomal RNA", at positions 524 to 776 of the family's 1533-position model. The record is from RNAcentral.